GAGAGAGAGAACAAACGGAUGCUUAGGAGUAGCAAUCAUAAAGUCAUACUGUAGGGACUUUGGGGCCAUAAAAAUCGGUUGGAACUCCUCAACAGUCGAAGAUGUGAUAUUUUCUGUAAAUUGUUUUACGGAUAACUCCGCCGCAUAAACAAAUUUAUCAAUAUUUUUUUUAAGCUGUAAAGAACGAGACAUCCAAACACCGCCAUACUCAUACAAUCCCAAUAAAAAUCCCCACUGAUCUUUAGCUUCACGCGAUAACUGAGA
Molecule: non-coding RNA, 264 nt
Organism: Schizosaccharomyces pombe (fission yeast)
Lineage: Eukaryota; Fungi; Ascomycota; Schizosaccharomycetes; Schizosaccharomycetales; Schizosaccharomycetaceae
Source: the annotation of a GenBank genome assembly